RNAcentral lists this ribosomal RNA (421 nucleotides) under uncultured eukaryote. Its description in RNAcentral is "bacterial SSU rRNA". It matches the Rfam family "Eukaryotic small subunit ribosomal RNA", at positions 592 to 1016 of the family's 1831-position model. The record is from RNAcentral.
CAAUAGCGUAUAUUAAAGUUGUUGCAGUUAAAAGCUCGUAGUUGGACUUCUGACGUGGGACUGCGCCCGUUCCUUUGGCAUGCGUUGGGUGCGGACUUGUGUCUUCCUCUCGUAGUUGGUUGGUGCACUUAACUGGGUGCCUUCUGAACAUGGGACCUUUACUUUGAAAAAUUUAGAGUGUUCAAAGCAGGCAUUGGCUUGAAUACAUUAGCAUGGAAUAAUAGAAUAGGACUUUGGUUCUAUUUUGUUGGUUUCUAGGACCGAAGUAAUGAUUAAUAGGGACAGUUGGGGGCAGUUAGUAUUUAAUUGUCAGAGGUGAAAUUCUUGGAUUUAUGAAAGACUAACUACUGCGAAAGCAUUUGCCUAGGAUGUUCUCUUUAAUCAAGAACGAAAGUUGGGGGAUCGAAGACGAUUAGAUACC